GAUGAAGAACGUAGCGAAAUGCGAUAAGUAAUGUGAAUUGCAGAAUUCAGUGAAUCAUCGAAUCUUUGAACGCACAUUGCGCCCAUUGGUAUUCCAUUGGGCAUGUCUGUUUGAGCGUCAUUACAACCCUCAGCCAACCGCUGGUUUUGAACCUGAACGGGUAACACCGUGCUGGUUUUAAAGUUGUAAGCUCUGCUGGCCGCUCUGCCCAACCAGAACAUAGUAAGCACUACUUGUCCGGGUGAAGCUGAACGGUACGGCCUGAACAAAACCUACCCAUUCUCAAGGUUUGACCUCAGAUCAGACAAGGAUACCCGCUGAACUUAAGCAUAUCAAUAAGCGGAGGA
This 347-nucleotide unclassified non-coding RNA is filed under the name soil metagenome. RNAcentral's name for it is "partial contains 5.8S ribosomal RNA, internal transcribed spacer 2, and large subunit ribosomal RNA". The stretch from base 1 to 120 matches the Rfam family "5.8S ribosomal RNA", at positions 35 to 154 of the family's 154-position model. The record is from RNAcentral.